Molecule: ribosomal RNA, 492 nt
Filed under: uncultured bacterium
Lineage: Bacteria
Description: partial 16S ribosomal RNA
Rfam family: Bacterial small subunit ribosomal RNA
Source: RNAcentral
AGUGAACGCUGGCGGUAGGCCUAACACAUGCAAGUCGAACGGCAGCACAGUAAGAGCUUGCUCUUACGGGUGGCGAGUGGCGGACGGGUGAGGAAUACAUCGGAAUCUACUUUUUCGUGGGGGAUAACGUAGGGAAACUUACGCUAAUACCGCAUACGACCUACGGGUGAAAGCAGGGGAUCUUCGGACCUUGCGCGAUUGGAUGAGCCGAUGUCGGAUUAGCUAGUUGGCGGGGUAAAGGCCCACCAAGGCGACGAUCCGUAGCUGGUCUGAGAGGAUGAUCAGCCACACUGGAACUGAGACACGGUCCAGACUCCUACGGGAGGCAGCAGUGGGGAAUAUUGGGCAAUGGGCGCAAGCCUGAUCCAGCCAUACCGCGUGAGCGAAGAAGGCCUUCGGGUUGUAAAGCCCUUUUGUUGGGAAAGAAAAGCAGCAGGUGAAUACCCCGCUGUUCUGACGGUACCCAAAGAAUAAGCACCGGCUAACUUCGUG